Molecule: long non-coding RNA, 538 nt
Organism: Cylas formicarius (sweet potato weevil)
Lineage: Eukaryota; Metazoa; Arthropoda; Insecta; Coleoptera; Brentidae
Exons: 3
Source: RefSeq, a predicted model, not a curated record
GUUUUUGCUACAUUUGUGUUAAAUGAUCUUGUUAGAGACUUGGGGAUGUCAAAAUCUAAAGCACAAUUACUCGCAUCAAGAUUAAAACAUCGGAAUUUGUUGGAUAAACGUACAAGAAUCUCAUAUUUUCGCACAAGACAAGAUGAUUUAGUAUAUUAUAAUGAUGCCGCCGGGCUUCUUCAAGAACUUAGUUUUCCAGAAAAUUCUGAUGAAUGAAGACUUUUUAUUGAUGCCUCAAAGAUAAGUGUGAAAGCCGUUUUACUCCAUAAUAAAUACCCAUCAGUGGCCGUUGCACAUGCAACAAACAUGAAAGAAAAUUAUGCAAAUCUGGAGGAUGCAAUAUGUCACUUAAAAUUCAUUUUUUGGUCAGCAGAAGUGCUUGCUGAUUACUGUUAGUCGCUUCCCCGAGAAACCUCGAUAGAAAUGAUGAAAAGAAAAAAAACAAAGUAACUUUACUAUCAUCAUGAGAUAAAUUUACUGAUAUAAAAUAACUUAAGAGUAAGUAAGAGUAAAAUUAGCAUUUUCGACUGUAAAACUU